UGCAAGAUGAAUUGGAAGAUGUUCCAUGGAAUCAAAGAAUGCAGGAGGGAAUAUUCUUUCCAAUUUGCAAAGAAUAAAUGGAAUAUUUUCCUCCAACUUUCUCAAGGAAUCUGCCUUGAGCGUCGUAGCGCACAAAUCCUUGAAGAAAUGACUGAUUUCUAUAAGUGGAUUUAACACGUGCAUGGGCAAACAGCUAAAUGCAACAGGGAUNANAGUUUCCAUAAAAACA
This 229-nucleotide long non-coding RNA is filed under the name Vigna radiata. Its description in RNAcentral is "long non-coding RNA (VRAD_LNC000955)". Lineage: Eukaryota; Viridiplantae; Streptophyta; Magnoliopsida; Fabales; Fabaceae. The record is from RNAcentral.